This 359-nucleotide ribosomal RNA is filed under the name uncultured bacterium. RNAcentral's name for it is "bacterial SSU rRNA". It matches the Rfam family "Bacterial small subunit ribosomal RNA", at positions 28 to 387 of the family's 1533-position model. The record is from RNAcentral.
GAUGAACGCUAGCGGGAGGCCUAAUACAUGCAAGUCGAACGGUAAGGUCCUUUCGGGGAUACACGAGUGGCGGACGGGUGCGUAACGCGUACGAAACAUACCUUCAACAGGGAGAUACCUCCGGGAAACUGGAAAUAAUACCCCAUAGUAUUGUGACAUCGCAUGAUGUUACAAUUAAAGACUUGGUCGGUUGAAGAUUGUCGUGCGUCUGAUUAGCUAGUUGGUGAGGUAACGGCUCACCAAGGCGACGAUCAGUAGCUGGUCUGAGAGGAUGAUCAGCCACACUGGAACUGAGACACGGUCCAGACUCCUACGGGAGGCAGCAGUAGGGAAUAUUGGACAAUGGGCGGAAGCCUGAU